UACGAAGGGGGCUAGCGUUGCUCGGAAUUACUGGGCGUAAAGCGCACGUAGGCGGCUCUUUAAGUCGGGGGUGAAAUCCUGGAGCUCAACUCCAGAACUGCCUUCGAUGCUGAAGAGCUCGAGUCCGGGAGAGGUGAGUGGAACUGCGAGUGUAGAGGUGAAAUUCGUAGAUAUUCGCAAGAACACCAGUGGCGAAGGCGGCUCACUGGCCCGGUACUGACGCUGAGGUGCGAAAGCGUGGGGAGCAAACAGG
This 253-nucleotide ribosomal RNA is filed under the name uncultured bacterium. RNAcentral's name for it is "partial 16S ribosomal RNA". It matches the Rfam family "Bacterial small subunit ribosomal RNA", at positions 524 to 776 of the family's 1533-position model. The record is from RNAcentral.